CGGCGCGCGAGAAAAGCAAUAAAGAAGUGUGACGUGGCCUCUUUGUCAGCGGAGGCUACUUGUCAAACGUUUUAGGCCUGCAUCAGUUCAUUUUUCAAGGUCAGCGGGAAGCAAAGAGUUCAUUGUUCCCUUCUUUUAGUCAAAGCAACAGAAUCUUAUCUGCUACUGCAGUCAUUGUGUGAGGGGAUGAGAGCGAGAGGAAGAGAAAAAAGAUGUGAGAGAGCAAGACGAGCAGGAAGGAGCACAGAAUAUCUCUAUUAAGGUAAAAGCUAUCACUCAGUAUGAAAUAUCUCAUGUGUUAAGUUAAUGAUUCUCUCUUUUUUUUUUUUUUAGAAAUGUUUCUAUUGCUUCAUUAGCAUGCCAGAAAUGUUGUAUUUGUGUUAUCAAAAAGUUGACUGGAGACUGUAUUAUUAAAAAGGAAAACAAUCAUGAAGUUUAAUGAAAUGUAAUCUUGUUUCAUUUGUGGCACUAGAUGCUGAUGCUGAUUAUAUUGCUGCAUUUUAUAAUCAAAUUCAUUUAAUAAAUAAUCGAUACUUUAAGGAAAAAUACUUUUAUUUGAUAUUUUGUCAUGCAUUUCAAUCACAUAUAAAAUAUGUAAGUUCAAGAAAAGCUUUUAUAAGUAAUAUCUAUGUAUUAGUGACUUCAUUUUUAUAGCCAUAAGGUUUCUUGCAGUUAUCCAAAGUGUAUUUUUGUUUAUUAUUAAAUGAUUAAUUGAUUGAUUCCCCGUUCAUACAUUUCCUCCAUGACAGGUUAUGUUUGACAAGCAGUCAGAGUAACUCAGCAGACACGUGCUUUCUAAUGGCAAGUGAAGGCACAAGAAUUUGAAGGACACC
Puntigrus tetrazona (Sumatra barb) is the source of this 833-nucleotide long non-coding RNA. RefSeq lists it as uncharacterized. The record is from RefSeq and is a predicted model, not a curated record. NCBI's taxonomy places the organism in Eukaryota, Metazoa, Chordata, Actinopteri, Cypriniformes, Cyprinidae. The transcript is spliced from 3 exons.